UAAUACGUAGGAGGCUAGCGUUGUCCGGAUUUAUUGGGCGUAAAGCGCGCGCAGGCGGCUUACCAAGUCGGUCGUGAAAUCUCUCGGCUCAACCGGGAGGGGUCGGGCGAAACUGGUAGGCUUGAGGAUGGUAGGGGCAAGCGGAAUUCCCGGUGUAGUGGUGGAAUGCGUAGAUAUCGGGAGGAACACCAGUGGCGAAGGCGGCUUGCUGGACCAUUUCUGACGCUGAGGCGCGAAAGCGUGGGGAGCGAUCCGGAUUAGAUACCCGGGUAGUCCACGCCCUAAACGUUGAGGACUAGGUGUCGGGGGUAUCGACCCCUCCGGUGCCGGAGCUAACGCAUUAAGUCCUCCGCCUGGGGACUACGGCCGCAAGGCUA
RNAcentral lists this ribosomal RNA (377 nucleotides) under uncultured bacterium. Its description in RNAcentral is "bacterial SSU rRNA". It matches the Rfam family "Bacterial small subunit ribosomal RNA", at positions 521 to 896 of the family's 1533-position model. The record is from RNAcentral.